UACGUAGGGAGCAAGCGUUGUUCGGAAUUAUUGGGCGUAAAGAGCGCGUAGGCGGUUCGGUAAGUCUGACGUGAAAUCCCGGAGCUCAACUCCGGAACUGCGUUGGAUACUGCCGGGCUUGAGUGUGGGAGAGGAGAGUGGAAUUCCCAGUGUAGAGGUGAAAUUCGUAGAUAUUGGGAGGAACACCCGUGGCGAAGGCGGCUCUCUGGACCACAACUGACGCUGAGGCGCGAAAGCUA
RNAcentral lists this ribosomal RNA (239 nucleotides) under uncultured bacterium. Its description in RNAcentral is "partial 16S ribosomal RNA". It matches the Rfam family "Bacterial small subunit ribosomal RNA", at positions 524 to 762 of the family's 1533-position model. The record is from RNAcentral.